UGGGAGUUGGUUUUACCUGAAGACGGUGCGCUAACCCGCAAGGGAGGCAGCCGGCCACGGUAGGGUCAGCGACUGGGGUGAAGUCGUAACAAGGUAGCCGUAGGGGAACCUGCGGCUGGAUCACCUCCUUUCUAAGGAUGAUCCUUCAGCGAGCUCACGCUCACUAUCGGAUCGUUUUAGAAACAUCAGUGGCCAACAGAUCGCCAGAUCGUUGAGCUGCAUUGGCGGGAUUUCGCCGUCUUCGUUUCUCUUUCUUCGCGGACGAACACGCGCUGGGCCUGCAUCAAGCAGGAUCCCACGGUCCCUGACGGGAUAUGCGUUAGGGGCUUGUAGCUCAGUUGGUUAGAGCGCGCGCUUGAUAAGCGUGAGGUCGGAAGUUCAAGUCUUCCCAGGCCCACCACUUUCAUCGAGUGAGCAUUCGUCUUCUGGUUACGGGGCCAUAGCUCAGCUGGGAGAGCGCGUGCUUUGCAAGCAUGAGGUCGUCGGUUCGAUCCCGUCUGGCUCCACCAGAUGGUUUGAUCACCGAGAUCUUGCACCGUCGUCCGCGAAACAUCACUUCGCAUCUCGCUAGUCUGGAUAGACAGCAAGAUGCGUGUUUUCUGACAUCGUAAAGAGGAGAUCGAUCCGAGUUGGAUCGUGCGGCAGAUUGUUGCGCGAAUCCUUCAUUAUCUCCGGAUCAUUUUCGGCGCUCGCUCUCAGCCGUGAGGUUGAAUGCGAGUUGUAAAAUGAUCCUUUUAGCGAAGCUUGACCGCCUCGCUAUCGGAACGAUCUUACGAAGCAAGCUGGUCUUUCUAGUCAAUGUCCGGCUGCACGUAGCAUUCAUCGAGGGUGCGCGCCGAAAGGCAAUCGUGCAGACAACAUUCUGCCGAGUGUGGGGAACCUGCGGCUGGAUCACCUCCUUUCUAAGGAUGAUCCUUCAGCGAGCUCACGCUCACUAUCGGAUCGUUUUAGAAACAUCAGUGGCCAACAGAUCGCCAGAUCGUUGAGCUGCAUUGGCGGGAUUUCGCCGUCUUCGUUUCUCUUUCUUCGCGGACGAACACGCGCUGGGCCUGCAUCAAGCAGGAUCCCACGGUCCCUGACGGGAUAUGCGUUAGGGGCUUGUAGCUCAGUUGGUUAGAGCGCGCGCUUGAUAAGCGUGAGGUCGGAAGUUCAAGUCUUCCCAGGCCCACCACUUUCAUCGAGUGAGCAUUCGUCUUCUGGUUACGGGGCCAUAGCUCAGCUGGGAGAGCGCGUGCUUUGCAAGCAUGAGGUCGUCGGUUCGAUCCCGUCUGGCUCCACCACGCUUCGCCUUUCAGGCUUCGCGUGGCGCAGCCAAGCACGGUCGAAGCGUGCCCGGCGUAGCUCACUUGAGCGUAGACGGGCUGGUUGAGAUCAGCCCGUAACCAUCACCGUCCGCGAAACAUCACUUCGUAUCCUGCUAGUCUGGAUAGACAGCAAGAUGCGUGUUUUCUGACAUCGUAAAGAGGAGAUCGAUCCGAGUUGGGUCGUGCAGCAGAUUGUUGCGCGAAUCCUUCAUUAUCUCCGGAUCAUUUUCGGCGCUCGCUUUCAGCCGUGAGGUUGAAUGCGAGUUGUAAAAUGAUCCUUUUAGCGAAGCUUGACCGCCUCGCUAUCGGAACGAUCUUACGAAGCAAGCUGGUCUUUCUAGUCAAUGUCCGGCUGCACGUAGCAUUCAUCGAGGGUGCGCGCCGUAAGGCAAUCGUGCAGACAACAUUCUGCCGAGUGUGUGGACAUUGA
This 1734-nucleotide unclassified non-coding RNA is filed under the name Bradyrhizobium sp. RNAcentral's name for it is "partial may contain 16S ribosomal RNA, 16S-23S ribosomal RNA intergenic spacer, and 23S ribosomal RNA". The stretch from base 1 to 131 matches the Rfam family "Bacterial small subunit ribosomal RNA", at positions 1405 to 1533 of the family's 1533-position model. Lineage: Bacteria; Pseudomonadati; Pseudomonadota; Alphaproteobacteria; Hyphomicrobiales; Nitrobacteraceae. The record is from RNAcentral.